Molecule: long non-coding RNA, 747 nt
Organism: Anolis sagrei ordinatus
Lineage: Eukaryota; Metazoa; Chordata; Lepidosauria; Squamata; Anolidae
Source: RefSeq, a predicted model, not a curated record
UCAACACAAGCCCCGGCGUUCAAUAACAACCUUAAAAGGGCAGCCGGAUAAGACGACAGAAAUCACUUGAAAUGCUUCAACCUGCUCUGCUAGCUGUGAUUAGAUCUAAAAGGGAAAGAAAAAUACCCUAAUGGAUUAUAGAAGAGACGAAAGGAGUCGGCUGGCAAUGGGGUGCAGCCUGUGUGAUUACUUGACACACAGGCACACGCUCACUCUGGCCUGGCCUCCACCAAGGAAAGAUACAGCCAAAUGCACAAAGCAGGGAAAAUUACAAGAAUCUCUGCAUGUUUUGGGAGUAUGAAUGAUGUAAUACUGAACAGCAGUUCAGUGUGAAGAAUCCUAUCUUGUGCAUUCAGAAGAAAUAAGUGAUGGAUUGCUCUGAGUGAUGGAUUUUUUUUGCUGAAGGAGCAUCAUAAAAAAGUCAGUGCAACAGAUGGAUAGAGAUGACUCAUGCAAGCCUUCUUAUUUGCAAGUACACAUUUUAUAUGUGAACCCUAAUUAGUAGCCUCACUUAUGUCACACAGACACAUCUGAAAGGAUCCAAAACAAUAUCAAUACCUUUUGAAGGAAUACACAAUUGAACAAAUAAAAGACCCCAUGAUCCAAUGAGCAAAAAACGUAGGGUGAGCAAUACAUUUAGAAGAAUGGGAGGAACUUUGGAAGAACAGACAAUUUACAAGAAGUUACUCUGUUAAAGAAAAGUUUAACAAAAUGAUCUACAGAUGGUACAUAACUCCUGAAAAACUC